This 521-nucleotide long non-coding RNA is filed under the name Homo sapiens (human). RNAcentral describes it as "HSALNT0180781". Lineage: Eukaryota; Metazoa; Chordata; Mammalia; Primates; Hominidae. The record is from RNAcentral.
AGGAGUUGGAGCUCAAGUUGGAGACAGCGAGGAGAAACCUGCCAUAGCCAGGGAGGUGAGGAGAAGCCAGAGGUCCUUGGUGUGCCCUCAGAAAUCUGCCUGCAGUUCUCACCAAGCCGCUGUGAAAAUGGGGAUAAACACCCGGGAGCUGUUUCUCAACUUCACUAUUGUCUUGAUUACGGUUAUUCUUAUGUGGCUCCUUGUGAGGUCCUAUCAGUACUGAGAGGCCAUGCCAUGGUCCUGGGAUUGACUGAGAUGCUCCGGAGCUGCCUGCUCUAUGCCCUGAGACCCCACUGCUGUCAUUGUCACAGGAUGCCAUUCUCCAUCCGAGGGCACCUGUGACCUGCACUCACAAUAUCUGCUAUGCUGUAGUGCUAGGAUUGAUUAUGUGUUCUCCAAAGAUGCUGCUCCCAAGGGCUGCCAAGUGUUUGCCAGGGAACGGUAGAUUUAUUCCCCAACUCUUAACUGAAAAUGUGUUAGACAAGCCACAAAGUUAAAAUUAAACUGGAUUCAUGAUGAUG